GAUGAAGAACGUAGCGAAAUGCGAAAAGUAAUGUGAAUUGCAGAAUUCAGUGAAUCAUCGAAUCUUUGAACGCACAUUGCGCCCGCUGGUACUCCGGCGGGCACGCCUGUCCGAGCGUCAUUUCAACCCUCAAGCCCUCCUUCGGGAUGGGCCUGGUGUUGGGGCUCGGCCGCCAUCUCCGGCGGCCGUCCCCUAAAUACAGUGGCGGUCACGUCGCGACUCCUUUGCGUAGUAGAAACACCUCGCUCCGGAUAGCAACGCGGUCCACGCCGUAAAACCCCCAAUUUUCAAUGGUUGACCUCGGAUCAGGUGGGAAUACCCGCUGAACUUAAGCAUAUCAAUAAGCGGAGA
Molecule: unclassified non-coding RNA, 351 nt
Filed under: soil metagenome
Description: partial contains 5.8S ribosomal RNA, internal transcribed spacer 2, and large subunit ribosomal RNA
Rfam family: 5.8S ribosomal RNA (bases 1-120)
Source: RNAcentral